CGCUGGGACGGAGGAGGCCAGGGGGACCGUUACUGACAGAGGUGCUAGGCCCCGAGACGGCGGGGUAGGAGGUGGUCCGGAGCGGAGAGCAUCGCUGAGGUGAAGUCCCGAAGCCUUCGGCUGGAGCGAGCAACGCCUGCGUGACGUUAGGACCGUGCGCUCGAGUCUCUCGGGGCCAGGUGGGGAAUUCGAAUCUCGGUUACGGGGUCCUAGGUUCGAAUUCUACCCCGCGGGCGCUUUGUUCCUUCCCGUGUUUCGGAAGCAGGAAGCUGGCCCGCCACUCUGCGCCCGCCACGUGACGUAGCGAGGAGGGUUUAGGAACUGGAAUUAGCGGAGCCGGGACUGAAUCUCGUUUCCUUUCUUAAUGUUGCGAAGCCCCUCGCAGCGCUGCGAUCUUUGCCCCUCUCUGCGCCCCAGUUCCCGUCCGCGGUGGAGCCUCCGCUUCCUCGGCACGGCGCUUGACACUGGCCGGGCGCGCAUUGCGCUCCUCUGCCCUCUCCCUGUCUCCCAUGUCCCCGCACGGACAGCGCCUUCCGCCCUCAGCCCCUGACGCUGAGCCCUCGCCGGGCAGAGGAGGGCCUCAGAUCUCCGGGCUCCCAUCCAUCAAAGGCCGCGAGGGCUCCUGGGGGGAGAACACGAGCCUCCGACUGGGCAUCAAGGGCGCGGGGGAGGGCGUCCCCCCGCUCGUUAUUAGCCGCCUACUGCGCUCAAACAGACCUGGGAAUGUCCGACACACACCCUGCGAGGCCCCGGGCGAGUCGGCUAUCUUUCCGGACCCGCAAGCCGGCAAUUUGCUGAUAAAGCACUGCUCUCCACGGGUGGAAAGGAAAGGGAGGCACCUGUAGGGAGGAGGGGCUUGUGGGAGAUUCUCUCACCUGUUCCCACCCUGCACCCGUUAGGGACAACCCUCCUGGAGAUAAACCUGCGGUCAGGCAGCUAGAGGGGCCAGCAGCAACUUUCCUCCGGAUUGGAGACGGCGGCAGAGGGAAGAGGACUCCCCCCGGAAGCUGAAGUCCCAUGGGGAGUUAGGUAUCCUUGGCCUGAAUCCCCCCUUCUAGCUUGCGUUAGCUAGAGGAAUGUCCCCUGGGUUGGGACCCGACUUCUCCUCCCUCCCAACUCAGCCUCUAAUCUGGUGAAGCAAGUCUCUGGGCCUCAGUUUCCUCAUCUGUCAAAAUGAGAACGUUCAGAUAAUCUCUAAAAUCUGCCUAUUAAAACUCCUCCUGGCUCCAGUUUUCUCUAAUUCCUGCGGUGGUUAUUUUGUCCUGCCUAGAAUGGGGUGGGGCGGGUUGAAAACAUGAUACAGCAGGAGAAUAAGCAGCAAUUUACAUUUGCUAUUUAUAAAAAUUAUCUGUGUGAUCUUGGAGAAGUCAAUCUUGUUAGGUCUUUUCUCAUAUGUAAAAUAAUUAUCAUGAUAGAUAACAUUAAUAACACACCGUGCUAUGCUAAGUGCUUUACAAUUAUUUAUUUUUUGGUUGAGGCCGUUGGGGUUAUGGGGUUACGUCCAGGGUCACACAGCUUGUAAGACUCUGAUGUCGGAUUUGAACUCAGGAAUCCUCCAGUUUGUUUGCCACCUCGCUGCUCCUAUGAUUUCAUUUUAUGAGAUAAAAAAGCUAAUGGCCACUUUGGACUAGAUGGCUUCAGAUGUUUCUUCCUUCCUAGAUCUAUGAUCCUAAGGCCAUCAGUUGUGAGACUUCUUAUGCUACUCCCAUAGUGGAGUUUCACUGAACCAUGAAACACUAGGGAUGUCCAUGUGUCCGUGUGUCUCAGUGUUUUAUCUGCCUGCCCAGAACCAUCUCCCCAUGGCCCCACCCUGCACCAUCUCCACCUCCUACCAUUUCUGUAUCUCUCCCCACAGCCAUCUCAGCUGCCCUCAUGACAAGAUUUUUCAUUGGUGCUUUUGGUUAGAAGCUCAAUUUCCUUUUAGCAGAGAUGAUAUUCAAGUAGGACAUCCCAGAGUCCUAGACCCCAGGAUCUUCUUUUUUGAGGCUACAAAGCUAGUGAAAAGUGGAACAGAUUAACAGCUGGGAGGCCAGAGUUCCCUUAUCCUGGCUUCCCCACAAGACUGUCCAAGCUGGCCCUCUCCCAAGGCACCUGACACUGGGAUGAGCCAUAGCAACUAUCAGCAAGGAUUUGUUGAAAUGGCUGUCUUAGCUUUACCACUGACUCACUGUUCAGCCUUGAGUUCCUUUCUCCAGUUUAGUCAAAUUGAUCCCUCUAAUAGUUGCUGAAUAUGCAUUUAUUAAGCACUCACUAUGUGCCAGUCAUUAAAUACUGGGGAUUCAAAAGAAAGCAAAUAUAUAUAUAUAUCAGAAAAAAAUGCCUGUCUUGACCUCUCAUAGUUUUGAUUGUGUUUGGAUUUCUUCUUCCCUGAGUGUCUCCAUCAAAAGCAAUGACCCUGGGGACUGUAUUAUGGGCUGAAUCCCUAAAUCCCCUGGAUUUGGCUUGAUUUUCAGCUGGACAUUUUAUAGGCCUAGAUUCUAUCAACUGCUGCCACUAUCAGAACCCUCACCUUGAACCCAGGUCCAUGGAUACAUAGGGCUCCCAUAGAUCCCAUAAGUCCCAGUUGCUUGGGAUGGGGCUGAGAGGGAGCAGCCAGGGGGGAAUGUAAGGAUUCUUCAAACUACAAUCAAGCUUCUCAAUUUCUCCCCAAACUUCCUUCAGGAUCCCAAAGCUUCUUUCCUCCUAAUCUUCUUCCUUUUCUUCCUCAAGGUUCAAAAUUUGCUCCCAGGAAAUGUUCAGGAUGUCUCUGAGGGCUUGGAAGUCAUUCUCACUUUUUUCCCCUUAUCCUCUAUAUCCAGACAGUCAUCAAGUCCUGUUUCUAUUUUUCUGAUCCUUACCAUCUCCUUUAGUCCAGCCCCUCAUCAUCUUUUAUCUGGGCCACUGAAACAACUUCCUGACUGAAUUGGGAGAAAGGCACAGGGAUAUAUAGUCAACUCAGGCCCCAAAUCAGAGCUGCCCAACAAUGGAAUCAGCUUCCUCAUUAAGGUAGCAAGUUCUCCAUGGCUGCAAGUGUUCAAGAAGCAAAGGUUGGGGUGACCUUGUCUGGGAUGCUGUAGAGGAGAUUUGCACUGGGUGGAAGAUCAGACUAGGCAAUAGUCAAAAUCAUAACAGCUGACACAUCCAUGCUGUUCUGAGAUUUGCAAAGGCCUUUCCAUACAUGCUCUCACUUACAUCUCACAACAACCCUAUGAGGAAAGUAACUCUUCUGGAUCUGACUUCAGACUUACUGCUCCCCAUACCAACCACUCACCAAGCCUACUGCCUUCUCAAUAUUCUAAUAUCCCUUUCAUGGGAAAUGGCCAUUUUAGUACAGCUGAUAUUUGGUCCCACUAUCUUUCUAGCUCUUGAUUUUUCUGCCACUCCCAGUGCUGGGGGUCUAUGAUACAGAAUACAUUCAGAGAAAUGAAGCUAUUGAGAGAGACAAAGGAAAGAGGGAAGGAAAGAAGGAAGGAGGGAAGAAAGAAAGGAAAGAAGGAAGGGAGAGAGGUUGGGAGGAAGGGAGGGAGGUUGGGAGGAAGGAAGGAAGGGGAAGGGAAAGGAAGGGAAGGGAUGUAAGGAAAGGAAGGAAGAAAGGAAGGAAAAAGGGAAGGAAGGAAGAAAGGGAAAGAGGGAGAGAGGGAGGAAGAGAGAAAAGGAGGGAAGGAAAGAUGAGGGAGGAAAGAAAGGAAAAAAGAAUGAGAAAAGGAAGAAUGGAAAAAGGAAGGAGGAAGGGAAGGGAGGAGGAAAGGAAGGAAGGAGGGAAGGAAGAAGAAAGGGGGAAGGAAAAAGGAAGAAAGAAAAAAAGAAAAGAAGGAAAGAAAGAGAAAGAAAAGGGAGAAAGGAAAAAGAAAAAGAAGAAAGGAAUGAAGGAGGAAAGGUAGUAAAGGGAGGAAGAAAAAAGGAAGGAAGGAUGUAAGAAAGGAAGAAAAGAAAGAGAAGGAAAAGAAAGAAGGAAAGAGGAAAGAGAAUGAAUGAAAAGAGGGAAGGGAUAAGGAAGAAGGAAGAUAGACAUAGGAGAGUAAGGAAAUUUUAGAGUAGGAGAGUAAGGAAAUUUUAGAGUAAGGCAAGGAGAAAAGGAAGUGAAAGUAGGAAGAGGGGGAGGAAAUCAGGAAGAGUGGAAUGGGAGCCAGCCCACACUCCUUGAUUGUCCAAGGUGCCAGCGAGAACUGAUCCCACUGACCCUCUAGGGUAUCCACGACCCCUAGUGGCUGAACUUGUAGAUAAGACAAGGGUCUGAAGACAAGAAGGAGACAGAGGUUGGGAGGAGAGAGAGAACAGAGAACCAGGGGCGAGCCA
Sarcophilus harrisii (Tasmanian devil) is the source of this 4275-nucleotide long non-coding RNA. NCBI's taxonomy places the organism in Eukaryota, Metazoa, Chordata, Mammalia, Dasyuromorphia, Dasyuridae. The record is from Ensembl.